ACGCUGGCGGCGCGUCUUAGCAUGCAAGUCGUACGGCAAGAGAGGAGCUUGCUUCUCUCCUAGAGUGGCGGACUGGUGAGGAACACGUGGGUAAUCUACCCUUAAGUUGGGGAUAGCUGCUAGAAAUAGCAGAUAAUACCGAAUACACUCGGUCUUUCAUAAGAGAGGUUGAGGAAAGAGGCUACGGCCUCGCUUGAGGAUGAGCUUGCGUCCCAUUAGCUAGUUGGUGAGGUAAAGGCUCACCAAGGCAACGAUGGGUAUCCGGCCUGAGAGGGUGAUCGGACACAUUGGGACUGAGAUACGGCCCAAACUCCUACGGGAGGCAGCAGCUAAGAAUAUUCCGCAAUGGACGAAAGUCUGACGGAGCGACGCCGCGUGGAUGAAGAAGGCUGAAAAGUUGUAAAAUCCUUUUGUUGAUGAAGAAUAAGGAUAAGAGGGAAUGCCUAUCUGAUGACGGUAAUCAGCGAAUAAGCCCCGGCUAAUUACGUGCCAGCAGCCGCGGUAACACGUAAGGGGCGAGCGUUGUUCGGAAUUAUUGGGCGUAAAGGGCAUGUAGGCGGUUAUGUAAGCCUGAUGUGAAAUCCUAGAGCUUAACUCUAGAAUAGCAUUGGGUACUGUAUAACUUGAAUUACGGAAGGGAAGCUGGAAUUCCAAGUGUAGGGGUGGAAUCUGUAGAUAUUUGGAAGAACACCGGUGGCGAAGGCGGGUUUCUGGCCGAUAAUUGACGCUGAGAUGCGAAAGUGUGGGGAUCGAACAGGAUUAGAUACCCUGGUAGUCCACACCGUAAACGAUGUACACUAGGUGUUGGGGUAAGAGCUUCAGUGCCAAAGCAAACGCGAUAAGUGUACCGCCUGGGGAGUAUGCCCGCAAGGGUGAAACUCAAAGGAAUUGACGGGGGCCCGCACAAGCG
Molecule: ribosomal RNA, 910 nt
Filed under: uncultured bacterium
Lineage: Bacteria
Description: bacterial SSU rRNA
Rfam family: Bacterial small subunit ribosomal RNA
Source: RNAcentral